GUAGGGAAUAUUGGGCAAUGGAUGCAAGUCUGACCCAGCCAUCCCGCGUGCCGGAAGAAGGCCCUCAGGGUUGUAAACGGCUUUUGACGGUGAAGAAUCGACAGGAUGCGUCCUGUUUUGACGGUAGCCGUUGAAUAAGCACCGGCUAACUCCGUGCCAGCAGCCGCGGUAAUACGGAGGGUGCGAGCGUUGUCCGGAUUUAUUGGGUUUAAAGGGUGCGUAGGCUGGAAGGUCAGUCAGCGGUGAAAAGCUGUCGCUUAACGAUAGUCUUGCCGCAGAUACUUCCUUUCGUGGAUGAGGAGGAGGCCACUGGAACGGAUGGUGUAGCGGUGAAAUGCAUAGAUAUCAUCCAGAACACCGAUUGCGAAGGCAGGUGGCUGUACCUUAAUCGACGCUGAUGCACGAAAGCAUGGGGAGCAAACAGGAUUAGAUACCCCAGUAGUCC
Molecule: ribosomal RNA, 445 nt
Filed under: uncultured bacterium
Lineage: Bacteria
Description: partial 16S ribosomal RNA
Rfam family: Bacterial small subunit ribosomal RNA
Source: RNAcentral